RNAcentral lists this ribosomal RNA (441 nucleotides) under uncultured bacterium. Its description in RNAcentral is "partial 16S ribosomal RNA". It matches the Rfam family "Bacterial small subunit ribosomal RNA", at positions 355 to 787 of the family's 1533-position model. The record is from RNAcentral.
UAGGGAAUCUUCGGCAAUGGACGAAAGUCUGACCGAGCAACGCCGCGUGAGUGAAGAAGGUUUUCGGAUCGUAAAACUCUGUUGGUAGAGAAGAACGUUGGUGAGAGUGGAAAGCUCAUCAAGUGACGGUAACUACCCAGAAAGGGACGGCUAACUACGUGCCAGCAGCCGCGGUAAUACGUAGGUCCCGAGCGUUGUCCGGAUUUAUUGGGCGUAAAGCGAGCGCAGGUGGUUUAUUAAGUCUGGUGUAAAAGGCAGUGGCUCAACCAUUGUAUGCAUUGGAAACUGGUAGACUUGAGUGCAGGAGAGGAGAGUGGAAUUCCAUGUGUAGCGGUGAAAUGCGUAGAUAUAUGGAGGAACACCGGUGGCGAAAAGCGGCUCUCUGGCCUGUAACUGACACUGAGGCUCGAAAGCGUGGGGAGCAAACAGGAUUAGAUACCC